Molecule: ribosomal RNA, 401 nt
Filed under: uncultured bacterium
Lineage: Bacteria
Description: bacterial SSU rRNA
Rfam family: Bacterial small subunit ribosomal RNA
Source: RNAcentral
AGGGAAUCUUGCACAAUGAGGGAAACCUUGAUGCAGCGACGCCGCGUGCGGGACGAAGGCCCUAGGGUUGUAAACCGCUUUCAGUUGGGACGAAAGUGACGGUACCAACAGAAGAAGCCCCGGCCAACUAUGUGCCAGCAGCCGCGGUGAUACAUAGGGGGCAAGCGUUGUCCGGAUUUACUGGGCGUAAAGAGCUCGUAGGCGGUUUACCAAGUCAGAAGUGAAAUCUCCGUGCUUAACACGGAGCGGCCUUUUGAAACUGGUAUGACUUGAGUAUGGUAGAGGAGUGUGGAAUUUCCGGUGUAGCGGUGAAAUGCGCAGAUAUCGGAAGGAACACCUAUGGCGAAGGCAGCACUCUGGGCCAAAACUGACGCUGAGGAGCGAAAGCGUGGGGAGCGAAC